RNAcentral lists this ribosomal RNA (428 nucleotides) under uncultured bacterium. Its description in RNAcentral is "partial 16S ribosomal RNA". It matches the Rfam family "Bacterial small subunit ribosomal RNA", at positions 357 to 776 of the family's 1533-position model. The record is from RNAcentral.
UGGGAAUUUGGACAAUGGGCGAAAGCCUGAUCCAGCAAUGCCGCGUGUGUGAAGAAGGCCUUCGGGUUGUAAAGCACUUUUGUCCGGAAAGAAAUCCUUGGCUCUAAUACAGUCGGGGGAUGACGGUACCGGAAGAAUAAGCACCGGCUAACUACGUGCCAGCAGCCGCGGUAAUACGUAGGGUGCAAGCGUUAAUCGGAAUUACUGGGCGUAAAGCGUGCGCAGGCGGUUUGCUAAGACCGAUGUGAAAUCCCCGGGCCCAACCUGGGAACUGCAUUGGUGACUGGCAGGCUAGAGUAUGGCAGAGGGGGGUAGAAUUCCACGUGGUAGCAGUGAAAUGCGUAGAGAUGUGGAGGAAUACCGAUGGCGAAGGCAGCCCCCUGGGCCAAUACUGACGCUCAUGCACGAAAGCGUGGGGAGCAAACAGG